Molecule: ribosomal RNA, 506 nt
Filed under: uncultured bacterium
Lineage: Bacteria
Description: bacterial SSU rRNA
Rfam family: Bacterial small subunit ribosomal RNA
Source: RNAcentral
GGCUCAGGAUGAACGCUAGCUACAGGCUUAACACAUGCAAGUCGAGGGCAUCAUGAGAGUUGCUUGCAACUUUGAUGGCGACCGGCGCACGGGUGCGUAACGCGUAUCGAACCUACCCUAUACACGGGGAUAGCCUUGCGAAAGCAAGAUUAGUACCCGACGUUUUGUCAUUGCUGCAUGGUAUUGGCAAUAAAGAUUUAUCGGUAUAGGAUGGCGAUGCGUCCCAUUAGUAGUUGGCGGGGUAACGGCCCACCAAGACAUCGAUGGGUAGGGGUUCUGAGAGGAAGGUCCCCCACACUGGAACUGAGACACGGUCCAGACUCCUACGGGAGGCAGCAGUGAGGAAUAUUGGUCAAUGGGCGAGAGCCUGAACCAGCCAAGUAGCGUGCCAGGAAGACUGCCCUAUGGGUUGUAAACUGCUUUUAUAGGGGAAUAAAGUGCGGCACGUGUGCUGUUUUGUAUGUACCCUAUGAAUAAGGACCGGCUAAUUCCGUGCCAGCAGCGGC